RNAcentral lists this ribosomal RNA (580 nucleotides) under uncultured bacterium. Its description in RNAcentral is "partial 16S ribosomal RNA". It matches the Rfam family "Bacterial small subunit ribosomal RNA", at positions 355 to 932 of the family's 1533-position model. The record is from RNAcentral.
UGGGGAAUUUUGGACAAUGGGCGAAAGCCUGAUCCAGCAAUGCCGCGUGUGUGAAGAAGGCCUUCGGGUUGUAAAGCACUUUUGUCCGGAAAGAAAUCCUUGGCUCUAAUACAGUCGGGGGAUGACGGUACCGGAAGAAUAAGCACCGGCUAACUACGUGCCAGCAGCCGCGGUAAUACGUAGGGUGCAAGCGUUAAUCGGAAUUACUGGGCGUAAAGCGUGCGCAGGCGGUUUGCUAAGACCGAUGUGAAAUCCCCGGGCUCAACCUGGGAACUGCAUUGGUGACUGGCAGGCUAGAGUAUGGCAGAGGGGGGUAGAAUUCCACGUGUAGCAGUGAAAUGCGUAGAGAUGUGGAGGAAUACCGAUGGCGAAGGCAGCCCCCUGGGCCAAUACUGACGCUCAUGCACGAAAGCGUGGGGAGCAAAACAGGAUUAGAUACCCUGGUAGUCCACGCCCUAAACGAUGUCAACUAGUUGUUGGGGAUUCAUUUCCUUAGUAACGUAGCUAACGCGUGAAGUUGACCGCCUGGGGAGUACGGUCGCAAGAUUAAAACUUAAAUGAAUUGACGGGGUCAUAGCUG